RNAcentral lists this transfer RNA (70 nucleotides) under Hyphessobrycon flammeus. Its description in RNAcentral is "tRNA-Gln". It matches the Rfam family "tRNA". Rfam says of the family: Transfer RNA (tRNA) molecules are approximately 80 nucleotides in length. Their secondary structure includes four short double-helical elements and three loops (D, anti-codon, and T loops). Further hydrogen bonds mediate the characteristic L-shaped molecular structure. tRNAs have two regions of fundamental functional importance: the anti-codon, which is responsible for specific mRNA codon recognition, and the 3' end, to which the tRNAs corresponding amino acid is attached (by aminoacyl-tRNA synthetases). tRNAs cope with the degeneracy of the genetic code in two manners: having more than one tRNA (with a specific anti-codon) for a particular amino acid; and 'wobble' base-pairing, i.e. permitting non-standard base-pairing at the 3rd anti-codon position. Lineage: Eukaryota; Metazoa; Chordata; Actinopteri; Characiformes; Acestrorhamphidae. The record is from RNAcentral.
UAGGAAGUGGUGUAAUGAAGCACUAAGAGUUUUGAUCUCUUAAGUAGGGGUUCGAUGCCCUUCUUUCUAA